Molecule: long non-coding RNA, 199 nt
Filed under: Vigna radiata
Lineage: Eukaryota; Viridiplantae; Streptophyta; Magnoliopsida; Fabales; Fabaceae
Description: long non-coding RNA (VRAD_LNC004639)
Source: RNAcentral
GGAGGUACACUGAAGCACCAACCUUCUUCUUCUUCCACCCCUUCUGCUGACGAGGCCAUCCAGCGCUUGACANAGCUACUAGAGCAACGUGACCAGGAAAACCGUGAAUUGAGAGAAGAAUACAGUGACUUGAGAGAUGAGUUUACAAACUUCAAGUCCCUGGUCAUGAGAGCGCUGCCUCAAACUUCAGACACUCCUU